AUACGGAGGGGGCUAGCGUUGUUCGGAAUUACUGGGCGUAAAGCGCGCGUAGGCGGAUUGAUCAGUCAGGGGUGAAAUCCCGAGGCUUAACCUCGGAACUGCCUUUGAUACUGUCAAUCUUGAGUUCGAGAGAGGUGAGUGGAAUUCCUAGUGUAGAGGUGAAAUUCGUAGAUAUUAGGAAGAACACCAGUGGCGAAGGCGGCUCACUGGCCCAUUACUGACGCUGAGGUACGAAAGCGUGGGGAGCAAACAGGAUUAGAUACCCCAGUAGUCC
This 274-nucleotide ribosomal RNA is filed under the name uncultured bacterium. RNAcentral's name for it is "partial 16S ribosomal RNA". It matches the Rfam family "Bacterial small subunit ribosomal RNA", at positions 523 to 796 of the family's 1533-position model. The record is from RNAcentral.